GAAACAUAAAAAAAACUUGAAAUAAUUAAAAUAUGUCUUAAAUUUGACGAAUUAAAACAUCUGGUUUUUCAAGUAAUAACAAACUUAGAAAGGAAACGUUAUCUAGUCAUGCAAAUUAAAGUAAAAUAAUUUCAAAGUAAAUGGUUCUUCCGACGACUUCCUAGCAGAGCAACUCCUUAUUAAAUGUUGAAUAAACAAUCUCUAAGAUCCAACAUCGCCUGAAAAUUUACGAUUGCACAUCGUAGGACCAAGACAGAAAGAAAAACAAGAAGGGUGAGAAACAAUUCAUAGGAAUAAUAAUGCAAUAGAAAAAGUAAAAGCGAACAAUAAUAUGAUCAAGACGCAUAAGAUUUUAAAAUCAUAUGUAAUGCACCUAGGACCCGACCUAUAUGCAUGUGAUACCAAACCUACACAUAAUUCAUGGGUAUCAUCUUAUGUUAUUGAAUAACGACGCAACUCAUCAUUAACACAUCAUUGAAAUGGACUAAUAAAUGUAUGAAUGCAUCAAUUACAAAACAAAGACACCUUUGGGAAUCUAACUCAUUACUAACACAUAAUUGGAACACGUCAUUAAUCACUUCAUUGAAACUCAUCAUUAACACCCAUCAUUAGGCAUAUCAUUAACUGAAAACACACUACGAACUUCAAAUCGAAAACACAACACAUGAAAGCAGUAAUGUAACAUAAUAUGAAUUGAAAUAACAAACACAACUCAUAUUUGACACACUAUUAGCCGUGAAUUUACCCACCCCCUUCCCUAAGGUUCGAUGUUGUUGAUGCUAUGGUGUUAUUGUUCUUUUCACUACCAAGUCCAAAUUUUCUCUCAGUUUUUAUCUGUUGCUCUUUUUUCAAUUUUGCUAAAAUCCUAAUUUAUUUUCCAACUCUUUUUAAUUGUUAUUUUUCUAAAAAUUCUCAUCUCAUUAUUUUUCAUGAAAAUCUAUUAUUUUGUUUCUAAGAUUAAAAAUAUAUCUUUGUAAAAUAUGUUUCCAAAACAUAUCCUAAAAUAAGUCAAAAUAUAUAUUAGAGCAUAUCUCUACCAAAAAUAUAUUUUUUUUAAACAAUACAUUUUUAAAAAAUAUUUAACAUUCUUAUAAGGCUAUAUUAAUUAAAACAUUAUAAUGACAAAAAAAAAAUGCUUAAACAUGAUAGAGAAAUAAUAUUUUACCUCAACCUCUUAAGGUAUUAUGUAUUUACAAAAACCAGCGACGCAAAUCAUUUUUAUACGACGAAGAUCCGGUAGUUUUUUAUAACAAUCUUCUUUAGUAACACAUUCUAUUUGUGCAACUGCAAUGUAAACAAAUAACAAUACAUAAAUAUUACUAAAAAGGGAUGAAAGAUUGUGUAUAAGACAAAAAAUAAAAGAAAUUAGAAUGAGCUUACGUACCUUCACCACCUUUGACUACAACUAGAAACAGAGACACAAAAAAGAUCAUUGUAAAAAAACAUUUUAGAAAUACAGCCAUUUUUCUGCUUGUAACAAAUAUAAAAGUGUUUGAUCACUUUAUAUAGUAAAAAAUUUCAUGCAAUGUUUUAUGUCAAUUAAAUAUUAUUUAUUAAACAUACCGAUGCAAGAAAUCCUUUGCUAAAAUUAGAAUAAUUAUUAAAUGUUUCUUAAAGUAAAUAAAUGUAUCAAAUUUGUCCCUUUAGCUCCUAGAAUAGAUUAAAAAAAAACAAUGCUUCUAAUUAGAGUUCAAUUUUGUUUAACAACUAUUAAUUAUUUGUUUAUUUCUUAUCUAACAUUUCACCCAAUUAUUUUUUAAGUCAUGAUUUUUUGAUCUACCUAGCACCAGGAAAGCCCCAAUUUUUUUUGUUUUUUGUUUUUUGUUUUUCACCACCAGUUUAAUCUGGUUCGGGUUCAGUUCCAACAUCAAGUGAUUCCAGUCCCUUCCUGAUCGCAUUUGUGUGGGAUCGAACUGUGGUCAUCCCUACCAAGUUCAACAUCAAUCACCACUGAACCAACUAACGAUUGAAACCAGGAACGCCCCAAUUGAUCCUCUUAAAAGAUUAGAUUCUGAAAUCGAUUAUAAAUCAAUACCUCCUACACCGAUGGUGGUUGUCUCAACCAAAAAGAUUCUGCAAUAGUGGUGGGUUUGGCAGUUGCAGCAUCAUCGUUGGUAGUUGUUGUGGUUGUGGUGGCGGUGUCAUGAUGUUGUCCAUGGCAGGGAGACAAAUGUUUUUUUUGUGUUUUCUUUACCGUGUCGUGAUGUUUUUGCGUUUUUUUUCAUGAUUUUGCGUUUUUUGCGUUGAAGAUGAACAAUUCAGUCACAAAAAAAUUGGAGAGAGAAUAGAGUAAGCGAGCAUGUCAAAUGAUAUUUUAAUUGGUGUUUAAAUCGCCAACCUUCAUAUAUU
RNAcentral lists this long non-coding RNA (2349 nucleotides) under Trifolium pratense (red clover). RNAcentral describes it as "long non-coding RNA (TPRA_LNC003307)". The record is from RNAcentral. Lineage: Eukaryota; Viridiplantae; Streptophyta; Magnoliopsida; Fabales; Fabaceae.